UGCGUAGGUGGUGAGGUAAGUCGGAUGUGAAAGCUCGGAGCUCAACUCCGAAAUGGCAUUGGAAACUACCUUGCUCGAGGGUUGGAGGGGGGACUGGAAUGCUUGGUGUAGCAGUGAAAUGCGUAGAUAUCAAGCGGAACACCAGUGGCGAAGGCGAGUCCCUGGACAACUCCUGACACUGAGGCACGAAAGCUAGGGAGCAAACA
RNAcentral lists this ribosomal RNA (206 nucleotides) under uncultured bacterium. RNAcentral describes it as "partial 16S ribosomal RNA". It matches the Rfam family "Bacterial small subunit ribosomal RNA", at positions 568 to 774 of the family's 1533-position model. The record is from RNAcentral.